GACGAACGCUGGCGGCGUGCCUAACACAUGCAAGUCGAGCGGGAACCUCAGGAGGGGUAACCCUUCUGAGGGGAGAGCGGCGAACGGGUGAGUAACACGUGGGCAACCUGCCCCGGACACCGGGAUAACCCAGGGAAACCUGAGCUAAUACCGGAUACUCCGGCGCGAUCGCAUGGUCGUGCCGGGAAAGCUCCGACGGUCCGGGAUGGGCCCGCGGCCUAUCAGCUUGUUGGUGGGGUAACGGCCCACCAAGGCGACGACGGGUAGCUGGUCUGAGAGGACGGCCAGCCACACUGGGACUGAGACACGGCCCAGACUCCUACGGGAGGCAGCAGUGGGGGAUCUUGCGCUAAUGCGCGAAAGCGUGACGCAGCGACGCCGCGUGGGGAUGAAGGCCUUCGGUU
This 404-nucleotide ribosomal RNA is filed under the name uncultured bacterium. RNAcentral's name for it is "bacterial SSU rRNA". It matches the Rfam family "Bacterial small subunit ribosomal RNA", at positions 28 to 423 of the family's 1533-position model. The record is from RNAcentral.